This 193-nucleotide ribosomal RNA is filed under the name uncultured Enterococcaceae bacterium. Its description in RNAcentral is "partial 16S ribosomal RNA". It matches the Rfam family "Bacterial small subunit ribosomal RNA", at positions 149 to 334 of the family's 1533-position model. Lineage: Bacteria; Bacillati; Bacillota; Bacilli; Lactobacillales; Enterococcaceae. The record is from RNAcentral.
UUAGGAAACAGGUGCUAAUACCGCAUAACAGUUUAUGCCGCAGUGGCAUAAGAGUGAAAGGCGCUUUCGGGUGUCGCUGAUGGAUGGACCCGCGGUGCAUUAGCUAGUUGGUGAGGUAACGGCUCACCAAGGCCACGAUGCAUAGCCGACCUGAGAGGGUGAUCGGCCACACUGGGACUGAGACACGGCCCAG